This 496-nucleotide ribosomal RNA is filed under the name uncultured bacterium. RNAcentral describes it as "partial 16S ribosomal RNA". It matches the Rfam family "Bacterial small subunit ribosomal RNA", at positions 29 to 507 of the family's 1533-position model. The record is from RNAcentral.
AUGAACGCUGGCGGCGUGCCUAAUACAUGCAAGUCGAGCGAACGGACGAGAAGCUUGCUUCUCUGAUGUUAGCGGCGGACGGGUGAGUAACACGUGGAUAACCUACCUAUAAGACUGGGAUAACUUCGGGAAACCGGAGCUAAUACCGGAUAAUAUUUUGAACCGCAUGGUUCAAAAGUGAAAGACGGUCUUGCUGUCACUUAUAGAUGGAUCCGCGCUGCAUUAGCUAGUUGGUAAGGUAACGGCUUACCAAGGCAACGAUGCAUAGCCGACCUGAGAGGGUGAUCGGCCACACUGGAACUGAGACACGGUCCAGACUCCUACGGGAGGCAGCAGUAGGGCAUCUUCCGCAAUGGGCGAAAGCCUGACGGAGCAACGCCGCGUGAGUGAUGAAGGUCUUCGGAUCGUAAAACUCUGUUAUUAGGGAAGAACAUAUGUGUAAGUAACUGUGCACAUCUUGACGGUACCUAAUCAGAAAGCCACGGCUAACUACGUG